This 468-nucleotide ribosomal RNA is filed under the name uncultured bacterium. RNAcentral's name for it is "partial 16S ribosomal RNA". It matches the Rfam family "Bacterial small subunit ribosomal RNA", at positions 28 to 507 of the family's 1533-position model. The record is from RNAcentral.
GACGAACGCUGGCGGCGUGCCUAACACAUGCAAGUCGAACGGAAAGGCCCUGCUUUUGUGGGGUGCUCGAGUGGCGAACGGGUGAGUAACACGUGAGUAACAUGUACUUGACUUUGGGAUAACUUCAGGAAACUGGGGAUAAUACCGGAUAGGAGCUCCUGCUGCACGGUGGGGGAUGGAAAGUUUCGGCGGUUGGGGAUGGAUUCGCGGCUUAUCAGCUUGUUGGUGGGGUAGUGGCUUUCAAAGGCUUUGACGGGUAGCCGGCCUGAGAGGGGGACCGGCCACCUUGGGCCUGCGAUACGGCCCAGACUCCUAUGGGAGGCAGCAGUGGGGAGUAUUGCACAAUGGGCGGAAGCCUGAUGCAGCAACGCCGCGUGCGGGAUGACGGCCUUCGGGUUGUAAACCGCUUUCGCCUGUGACGAAGCGUGAGUGACGGUACUGGGUAAAGAAGCACCGGCUAACUACGUG